Molecule: long non-coding RNA, 571 nt
Filed under: Elaeis guineensis (African oil palm)
Lineage: Eukaryota; Viridiplantae; Streptophyta; Magnoliopsida; Arecales; Arecaceae
Description: long non-coding RNA (EGUI_LNC008061)
Source: RNAcentral
UGAGUAAUGACCAUAUCUAUCGAAUAUUUAUCGAAUGUUGUGCAUGCUUAUGUAUUGCUAACAAUACAGUUGAUUACCAAUAUUGUGAUUGCAGAUGAUCUGGUUGACUGAGAUGGCAUGAGAUAUAUGUACUCUAUUGAUAUGGGUGGUUGGCCACUCCAUUUAGUUGAUUGUCCAUAGCAGGAUGUCGGAUAAUUGUUAUAAUCAUUUAUUUAUGUUAAGAUACAUCUGUGUGAAUUUAAUUUCAUCAUAUCAGUUAUUUGCUUUAUUGACUGUGAGCAUAAAAUAAUUUUUUUGUAGGUCUGAUGUGCCAUAUAUAUUAUGCAUUUUAUGGAGAGUCUGAUGAUGGGGCGGAAGAUCACAAUUAUAGAUGCUCGUAUUUCAGAAUUACAUGUCAGAUAUACUGCAUAGGUGAUCGUGAAGGGUUGCGAGUUGAGAACGCCCUAGUUUGUGCUAUUGCUAUCAUGGAUGUAUUAUGAAUAUUUUGUAUGAAUCCUGUGAAUAUUUUGUAUAAAUUCAUAAUAGUACAUUCAAAAAUUUGUAUUCAAAUUUAUAUUCUAUUAUUAGUAGC